Macaca mulatta (Rhesus monkey) is the source of this 1310-nucleotide non-coding RNA. The record is from RefSeq and is a predicted model, not a curated record. Lineage: Eukaryota; Metazoa; Chordata; Mammalia; Primates; Cercopithecidae.
UUUUCCCCCUUGGGGACACUAAGUAAGCUUUGUGUUGUGCACCUGCAUUUUGACUGCAACUCAUCACAUAACAACAGGUGUAAAAUUUUCCACUUGUGGUAUCAUGUUGAUGCUCAAAAGUUUCAAAUUUGAGAGCAUUUUGGAUUUCAGAUUUUUGGAUUAGGUAUGCUCAACUUAUAGUACACAUUUAAAUAAUUUGGGGGUGAUAUAGAAAAAAAACCAUUUGUAAAAAUUGUGCUAUUGGCAAAUUAAUUUAGCAAAAACUUAGUACUUUAAAAUAUGCAGUGAUCAAUGCUUUUCAGGUCAGUUGUUAAAAUUUGAGGAAAUAUAGAAGCAUAUCUAGAACAAGAAUGUUCAGAAAGAUUAUGUUACUGUGUUGACCAUGUUAGAGUUUGCCUGAGCCCUUGCCAUUGGAAAACAGCAAAGGAUGAUAAAUUCCCCCACCCUUUCCCCUUUCAUGUUCCAAAAUGUCUUAUCCCAAAUAACUACUGUUCCCACAUAUACUUCAAUAUCCUUAAGUGACUCAGAUAAGAUUUCUAUCCAUCUUGCUCAUGAUUCCCUUGUUUUAUAAUAUCCCAGGUUUUCAGUCUCUUCCUUGAGAUGUUCCCCGUUAAUGAAGAAUCUCUCUGUUGCAAUGACCUGAAGGCAUGGUUCAGAGGGCAUUCUUGCAGGAGAACAUCUCUGCUAGCUCAAAAUCUUCACAUUCACUAUUGUUAUCAAACCAAACUGGAGUCUGCAAGCCCAGCCCAGGAAGAGCAGAUAUUCAUACCAAGGUUUGCAGUGGGAAAAGGAAGGUGUUUAAUUGCAAGGCGUCAAGCUGGGAAAACUGGGCAGCUCAUGCUUAAGACUUGAGCUCCCAGAUGGCUUACAGAUAGUGAAGAAGGUGCCAGCUUCCCCUUCUGCCAUGAUCUUGGCUGACUAUGGAUGUUGGAUGCUAGCUCUCCUCAGAAAGAUCAAAGUUACAGGCGAAUGGCCAUGAUUUAAAUGGAAAUCUGAGGGAGUGGAGCAAGGACCUGUUGGAGCAUCCAUGGGAACAACCUGGGGCACAAAAGAGGAAAGUAGCAAGAGACUGGCAAAGAUUGUCUCCCUAGAAACCUGGACCAUGAAAAGGGACUGCUUUCUCUCUAAUCACUUGUCUUAUUAGUUGGUCAUUGACUGUGAAAAAAGAAAGCCUUCCAGUUUUAUGAGAUAGAACUUAAAUGGUCCUUUGGAGAUUGUGAACUUCACAUCCUUAGAGAAAAUGUCAUGAAAAUUGAAGUCCUCAUGGUUUACGGAGUUUGCUCUUGUUGCCCAGGCUGGAGUGCAGUGGC